UUAAGGGCGCACGGUGGAUGCCUUGGCACUAGAAGCCGAUGAAGGACGUUACUAACGACGAUAUGCUUUGGGGAGCUGUAAGUAAGCUUUGAUCCAGAGAUUUCCGAAUGGGGAAACCCAGCAUGAGUUAUGUCAUGUUAUCGAUAUGUGAAUACAUAGCAUAUCAGAAGGCACACCCGGAGAACUGAAACAUCUUAGUACCCGGAGGAAGAGAAAGAAAAUUCGAUUCCCUUAGUAGCGGCGAGCGAAACGGGAAGAGCCCAAACCAACAAGCUUGCUUGUUGGGGUUGUAGGACACUCUAUACGGAGUUACAAAGGACGACAUUAGACGAAUCAUCUGGAAAGAUGAAUCAAAGAAGGUAAUAAUCCUGUAGUCGAAAAUGUUGUCUCUCUUGAGUGGAUCCUGAGUACGACGGAGCACGUGAAAUUCCGUCGGAAUCUGGGAGGACCAUCUCCUAAGGCUAAAUACUCUCUAGUGACCGAUAGUGAACCAGUACCGUGAGGGAAAGGUGAAAAGCACCCCGGAAGGGGAGUGAAAUAGAACCUGAAACCGUGUGCUUACAAGUAGUCAGAGCCCGUUAAUGGGUGAUGGCGUGCCUUUUGUAGAAUGAACCGGCGAGUUACGAUUUGAUGCAAGGUUAAGCAGUAAAUGUGGAGCCGUAGCGAAAGCGAGUCUGAAUAGGGCGUUUAGUAUUUGGUCGUAGACCCGAAACCAGGUGAUCUACCCUUGGUCAGGUUGAAGUUCAGGUAACACUGAAUGGAGGACCGAACCGACUUACGUUGAAAAGUGAGCGGAUGAACUGAGGGUAGCGGAGAAAUUCCAAUCGAACCUGGAGAUAGCUGGUUCUCUCCGAAAUAGCUUUAGGGCUAGCCUCAAGUGAUGAUUAUUGGAGGUAGAGCACUGUUUGGACGAGGGGCCCCUCUCGGGUUACCGAAUUCAGACAAACUCCGAAUGCCAAUUAAUUUAACUUGGGAGUCAGAACAUGGGUGAUAAGGUCCGUGUUCGAAAGGGAAACAGCCCAGACCACCAGCUAAGGUCCCAAAAUAUAUGUUAAGUGGAAAAGGAUGUGGCGUUGCCCAGACAACUAGGAUGUUGGCUUAGAAGCAGCCAUCAUUUAAAGAGUGCGUAAUAGCUCACUAGUCGAGUGACACUGCGCCGAAAAUGUACCGGGGCUAAACAUAUUACCGAAGCUGUGGAUUGUCCUUUGGACAAUGGUAGGAGAGCGUUCUAAGGGCGUUGAAGCAUGAUCGUAAGGACAUGUGGAGCGCUUAGAAGUGAGAAUGCCGGUGUGAGUAGCGAAAGACGGGUGAGAAUCCCGUCCACCGAUUGACUAAGGUUUCCAGAGGAAGGCUCGUCCGCUCUGGGUUAGUCGGGUCCUAAGCUGAGGCCGACAGGCGUAGGCGAUGGAUAACAGGUUGAUAUUCCUGUACCACCUAUAAUCGUUUUAAUCGAUGGGGGGACGCAGUAGGAUAGGCGAAGCGUGCGAUUGGAUUGCACGUCUAAGCAGUAAGGCUGAGUAUUAGGCAAAUCCGGUACUCGUUAAGGCUGAGCUGUGAUGGGGAGAAGACAUUGUGUCUUCGAGUCGUUGAUUUCACACUGCCGAGAAAAGCCUCUAGAUAGAAAAUAGGUGCCCGUACCGCAAACCGACACAGGUAGUCAAGAUGAGAAUUCUAAGGUGAGCGAGCGAACUCUCGUUAAGGAACUCGGCAAAAUGACCCCGUAACUUCGGGAGAAGGGGUGCUCUUUAGGGUUAACGCCCAGAAGAGCCGCAGUGAAUAGGCCCAAGCGACUGUUUAUCAAAAACACAGGUCUCUGCUAAACCGUAAGGUGAUGUAUAGGGGCUGACGCCUGCCCGGUGCUGGAAGGUUAAGAGGAGUGGUUAGCUUCUGCGAAGCUACGAAUCGAAGCCCCAGUAAACGGCGGCCGUAACUAUAAAGGUCCUAAGGAAGCGAAAUUCCUUGUCGGGUAAGUUCCGACCCGCACGAAAGGCGUAACGAUUUGGGCACUGUCUCAACGAGAGACUCGGUGAAAUCAUAGUACCUGUGAAGAUGCAGGUUACCCGCGACAGGACGGAAAGACCCCGUGGAGCUUUACUGUAGCCUGAUAUUGAAAUUCGGCACAGCUUGUACAGGAUAGGUAGGAGCCUUUGAAACGUGAGCGCUAGCUUACGUGGAGGCGCUGGUGGGAUACUACCCUAGCUGUGUUGGCUUUCUAACCCGCACCACUUAUCGUGGUGGGAGACAGUGUCAGGCGGGCAGUUUGACUGGGGCGGUCGCCUCCUAAAAGGUAACGGAGGCGCUCAAAGGUUCCCUCAGAAUGGUUGGAAAUCAUUCAUAGAGUGUAAAGGCAUAAGGGAGCUUGACUGCGAGACCUACAAGUCGAGCAGGGUCGAAAGACGGACUUAGUGAUCCGGUGGUUCCGCAUGGAAGGGCCAUCGCUCAACGGAUAAAAGCUACCCCGGGGAUAACAGGCUUAUCUCCCCCAAGAGUUCACAUCGACGGGGAGGUUUGGCACCUCGAUGUCGGCUCAUCGCAUCCUGGGGCUGUAGUCGGUCCCAAGGGUUGGGCUGUUCGCCCAUUAAAGCGGUACGCGAGCUGGGUUCAGAACGUCGUGAGACAGUUCGGUCCCUAUCCGUCGUGGGCGUAGGAAAUUUGAGAGGAGCUGUCCUUAGUACGAGAGGACCGGGAUGGACAUACCUCUGGUGUACCAGUUGUCGUGCCAACGGCAUAGCUGGGGAGCUAUGUGUGGACGGGAUAAGUGCUGAAAGCAUCUAAGCAUGAAGCCCCCCUCAAGAUGAGAUUUCCCAACUUCGGUUAUAAGAUCCCUCAAAGAUGAUGAGGUUAAUAGGUUCGAGGUGGAAGCAUGGUGACAUGUGGAGCUGACGAAUACUAAUCGAUCGAAGACUUAAUC
RNAcentral lists this ribosomal RNA (2911 nucleotides) under Staphylococcus aureus. RNAcentral describes it as "bacterial LSU rRNA". It matches the Rfam family "Bacterial large subunit ribosomal RNA". The record is from RNAcentral. Lineage: Bacteria; Bacillati; Bacillota; Bacilli; Caryophanales; Staphylococcaceae.